CUACGGGUGGCUCCAGUCGAGAAUCUUCCGCAAUGGGCGCAAGCCUGACGGAGCAAUGCCGCGUGUAGGAUGAAGGCCUUUGGGUCGUAAACUACUGUCACAGGGGAUGAAUAAAUGACAGUACCCUGAGAGGAAGCCACGGCUAACUACGUGCCAGCAGCCGCGGUAAUACGUAGGUGGCGAGCGUUGUUCGGAUUUAUUGGGCGUAAAGGGUUCGUAGGGGGUUAUCUAAGUUUGAUGUGAAAUCCCGUGGCUUAACCACGGAACUGCAUUGAAAACUGGACAACUAGAGUAUCGGAGAGGAAAGCGGAAUUUCUGGAGUAGCGGUGGAAUGCGUAGAUAUCAGAAAGAACAUCGACAGCGAAGGCAGCUUUCUGGACGGUUACUGACCCUGAGGGACGAAAGCAUGGGUAGCGAACAGGAUUAGAUACCCGAGUAGUC
This 441-nucleotide ribosomal RNA is filed under the name uncultured bacterium. RNAcentral's name for it is "partial 16S ribosomal RNA". It matches the Rfam family "Bacterial small subunit ribosomal RNA", at positions 339 to 795 of the family's 1533-position model. The record is from RNAcentral.